Molecule: ribosomal RNA, 447 nt
Filed under: uncultured bacterium
Lineage: Bacteria
Description: bacterial SSU rRNA
Rfam family: Bacterial small subunit ribosomal RNA
Source: RNAcentral
GGUUAACGCUGGCGGCGUGCCUAACACAUGCAAGUCGAACGGUUCUAAGCGCGAGCUUAGGAUAGUGGCGAACGGGUGAGUAAAAGGUAGGAAUCUACCCCUUGGACGGAGAUAGCUACUGGAAACGGUAGGUAAACUUCGAUAAGCCCGAGAGGGGAAAGUGGUGAGACAGCCGAGGGAUGAGCCUACUCUCCAUCAGGUAGUUGGUGAGAUAAAAGCUUACCAAGCCGAUGACGGAUAACCGGUGUGAGAGCAUGAACGGUCACAAGGGCACUGAGAGACGGGCCCUACUCCUACGGGAGGCAGCAGUGGGGAAUCUUGGACAAUGGGCGAAAGCCUGAUCCAGCGACGCCGCGUGGAGGAAGAAGUCCUUCGGGAUGUAAAGCCCUGUCUUAUGGGAAGAAGUCAGUGACGGUACCAUAGGAGGAAGCCACGGCUAACUACGUG